Molecule: ribosomal RNA, 433 nt
Filed under: uncultured bacterium
Lineage: Bacteria
Description: partial 16S ribosomal RNA
Rfam family: Bacterial small subunit ribosomal RNA
Source: RNAcentral
AACGAACGCUGGCGGCAGGCCUAACACAUGCAAGUCGAGCGAGGACUUCGGUUCUAGCGGCGGACGGGUGAGUAACGCGUGGGAAUGUGCCCUUCUCUACGGAAUAGCCCUGGGAAACUGGGAGUAAUACCGUAUACGCCCUAUAGGGGAAAGAUUUAUCGGAGAAGGAUCAGCCCGCGUUGGAUUAGGUAGUUGGUGGGGUAAUGGCCUACCAAGCCGACGAUCCAUAGCUGGUUUGAGAGGAUGAUCAGCCACACUGGGACUGAGACACGGCCCAGACUCCUACGGGAGGCAGCAGUGGGGAAUCUUAGACAAUGGGGGCAACCCUGAUCUAGCCAUGCCGCGUGAGUGAUGAAGGCCUUAGGGUUGUAAAGCUCUUUCAGCUGGGAAGAUAAUGACGGUACCAGCAGAAGAAGCCCCGGCUAACUCCGUG